AAAACAAUAUUGGGCCAUUGUAGAUUGAGGUGAAGUUACUUUCAUCUCUCCUGCAUGGUCUAGACAGUG
RNAcentral lists this small nucleolar RNA (69 nucleotides) under Spermophilus dauricus (Daurian ground squirrel). Its description in RNAcentral is "Small nucleolar RNA SNORA20 (ENSSDAG00000016508.1)". Lineage: Eukaryota; Metazoa; Chordata; Mammalia; Rodentia; Sciuridae. The record is from RNAcentral.